This 68-nucleotide transfer RNA is filed under the name Oxyethira ecornuta. RNAcentral's name for it is "tRNA-Gln". The record is from RNAcentral. Lineage: Eukaryota; Metazoa; Arthropoda; Insecta; Trichoptera; Hydroptilidae.
UACAUUUUAGUGUAAAAGCACAAAAAUUUUUGAAAUUUUUAGGGAUAGUUUAGAGCUAUUAAGUGUAA